Molecule: ribosomal RNA, 468 nt
Filed under: uncultured bacterium
Lineage: Bacteria
Description: partial 16S ribosomal RNA
Rfam family: Bacterial small subunit ribosomal RNA
Source: RNAcentral
GACGAACGCUGGCAGCGUGCUUAACACAUGCAAGUCGAACGGAAAGGCCCUGCUUUUGUGGGGUGCUCGAGUGGCGAACGGGUGAGUAACACGUGAGUAACCUGCCCUUGACUUUGGGAUAACUUCAGGAAACUGGGGCUAAUACCGGAUAGGAGCUCCUGCUGCAUGGUGGGGGUUGGAAAGUUUCGGCGGUUGGGGAUGGACUCGCGGCGUAUCAGCUUGUUGGUGGGGUAGUGGCUUACCAAGGCUUUGACGGGUAGCCGGCCUGAGAGGGGGACCGGCCACAUUGGGACUGAGAUACGGCCCAGACUCCUACGGGAGGCAGCAGUGGGGAAUAUUGCACAAUGGGCGGAAGCCUGAUGCAGCAACGCCGCGUGCGGGAUGACGGCCUGCGGGUUGUAAACCGCUUUCGCCUGUGACGAAGCGUGAGUGACGGUAAUGGGUAAAGAAGCACCGGCUAACUACGUG